This 400-nucleotide ribosomal RNA is filed under the name uncultured bacterium. Its description in RNAcentral is "bacterial SSU rRNA". It matches the Rfam family "Bacterial small subunit ribosomal RNA", at positions 355 to 752 of the family's 1533-position model. The record is from RNAcentral.
UGAGGAAUAUUGGACAAUGGGUGGAAGCCUGAUCCAGCCAUCCCGCGUGAAGGAAUAAGGUCCUAUGGAUUGUAAACUUCUUUUGUAUAGGGAUAAACCUACUCUCGAGAGAGUAGCUGAAGGUACUAUACGAAUAAGCACCGGCUAACUCCGUGCCAGCAGCCGCGGUAAUACGGAGGGUGCAAGCGUUAUCCGGAUUUAUUGGGUUUAAAGGGUCCGUAGGUGGACUGGUAAGUCAGUGGUGAAAUCCUGCAGCUUAACUGUGGAACUGCCAUUGAUACUGCUAGUCUUGAGUAUAUUUGAAGUAGCUGGAAUAAGUAGUGUAGCGGUGAAAUGCAUAGAUAUUACUUGGAACACCAAUUGCGAAGGCAGGUUACUAAGAUAUAACUGACGCUGAGGG